AGUUUUUUUUUGGGUUUAGUGAUUAGUGUUUUGAAUUUAGUUUUGGAAGGUUUGAGUUGAUGUUGGGGUAAGAACAUUUCAAAAUCAGAACAAAAUGUACUAUACUAUUUCGUUUGUUACUAUUCUAUUUUAAUAAUACUUCAUAUUAUAUACUAUUUGCAUAUUUUGAUAUUUGGAUUAGGGUUUAUAGUUUCUUUUAGGGUUUAGUGAUUAGUGUUUUGAAUUUAGUUUUGGAAGGUUUGGGUUGACGUUUGGGUAAAAACAUUUCAAAAUCAGAACAAUAUGUACUAUACUAUUUUGUUUGUUAAUAUUUUAUUUUAAUAAUACUUCAUAUUAUAUACUAUUUGCAUAUUUUGAUAUCUGGGUUAGGAUAUAUAUUUCUUUUUAGGGUUUAGUGACUAGUGUUUUUGGUUUGUGUUGAUGUUAGGGUAAGCAUUACCUUUUUCACUGCAAUCAUAGACAUUUCAAAAUUUGAACAAAUACUAUACUAUUUUGUUUAUUAUGUACUAUGUGCAUAUUUUGAUAUUUGGACUAGAGUUUAUAGUUUCUUUUAGGGUUUAGUUUUGGAAGAUUUGGAUUGAC
RNAcentral lists this long non-coding RNA (582 nucleotides) under Brassica napus (rape). Its description in RNAcentral is "long non-coding RNA (BNAP_LNC012726)". Lineage: Eukaryota; Viridiplantae; Streptophyta; Magnoliopsida; Brassicales; Brassicaceae. The record is from RNAcentral.